GCCAUCCUUUUGACCAGGGCCCAUAGGUUCAUAAGAAGUAGUGGUCAGAAGUAGUGGUCAAAAGUAGUGGUCAAAAGUAGUGCACUACAGGGAAUAAGAUUCCAUUUGGGACAAAGUUUCUGUUCACAGCAGGAACAGAUGGGGCCUGAGUUUAGAAGACUGUUCACAACAGGAACGGAUGGGGCCUGAGUUUAGAAGACUGUUCACAGCAGGAACAGAUGGGGCCUGAGUUUAGAAGACUGUUCACAACAGGAACGGAUGGGGCCUGAGUUUAGAAGACUGUUCACAGCAGGAAUGGAUGGGGCCUGAGUUUAGAAGACUGUUCACAGCAGGAACGGAUGGGGCCUGAGUUUAGAAGACUGUUCACAGCAGGAACGGAUGGGGCCUGAGUUUAGAAGACUGUUCACAGCAGGAACGAAUGGGGCCUGAGUUUAGAAGACUCGGUUUUAAUAGUCAGGGCUUGGCUUUUCUCCCUAAUGGUUUUAAUGGUGAGGGCUUUUCUCCCUAAUGGUUUUAAUGGUGAGGGCUUUUCUCCCUAAUGGUUUUAAUGGUGAGGGCUUUUCUCCCUAAUGGUUUUAAUGGUGAGGGCUUUUCUCCCUAAUGGUUUUAAUGCUGUCCAGAUUGGAACGGCCACAAUUAGAUUUAAUUACAGAGACCUCAGUUGUAAAGCGGUCUAAAUAAAAUCACAUUUGUAAAUUGGAGUCACCUGACUUAUAAUUAUGGGAUGGAUAUGACUACGGAGUUAAGCGGAACUAGAAACUUCUCAUCUUCUGAUAUAAAGAAACAACCACGAGAAUGAAAGAGAAAUGUCCAACACAAUGUGAUGUACCAGGUUAUAUCAAUCAUCAGGAUAUUGGCUUCCUCUGACAUGCUGCAUAGCGCCAGGUGAAACACUCGAUCAAUCCACUUCAAACAAUUCACCAUUGUUGAUACGCUGAGAAGAAACAGGCGUUAUGGUGGUACAGUAUACUACACGCAGUGUAAUGAUUGAUGAGGUCAUGUCAGAAGAAACAUUACAUGAGGUUGGUUGGUAAAAAACGAACCAGCACUGAUGUCACGAACUUCAAAAUGAGCGGACCAAAGGCGCAGUGUGCGUUGAGUUCCACAUCUUUUUAAUACAAAGUGAAACUAGAAAAUAACCCCCCCCCCCAAAAAAAAAAACGUGCCGACGUGAUGCCCCAAACACCGUAACACAAUAUCCCACAAAGCAGGUGGGAGAUAGGGCUUCCUAAAUAUGAUCCCCAAUUAGAGGCAACGAUUACCAGCUGCCUCUAAUUGGGAACCAUACAAAAUCACCAACAUAGAAAUACACAUUCUAGAACACCCUGACCUAAACCACUAUAGAGAAUCCAAGGGCUCUCUAUGGUCAGGGCGUGACAACUGCACUAUAUAGAGAUUAGGGUGCCAUUUGAUAUAGGAAUAGGGUGCCAUUUGAAAUAGGGAAUAGGGUGCCAUUUGAUAUAGGGAAUAGGGUGCCAUUUGAUAUAGGGAAUAGGGUGCCAUUUGAUAUAGGGAAUAGGGUGCCAUUUGAUAUAGGGAAUAGGGUGCCAUUUGAUACAGGGAAUAGGGUGCCAUUUGAUAUAGGGAAUAGGGUGCCAUUUGAUACAGGGAAUAGGGUGCCAUUUGUUAUAGGGAAUAGGGUGCCAUUUGAUAUAGGGAAUAGGGUGCCAUUUUAUAUAGGGAAUAGGGUGCCAUUUGAUAUAGGGAAUAAUCUGCCAUUUGAUACAGGGAAUAGGGUGCCAUUUGAUAUAGGGAAUAGGGUGCCAUUUGAUAUAGGGAAUAGGGUGCCAUUUGAUACAGGGAAUAGGGUGCCAUUUGAUAUAGGGAAUAGGGUGCCAUUUGAUACAGGGAAUAGGGUGCCAUUUGAUAUAGGGAAUAGGGUGCCAUUUGAUAUAGGGAAUAGGGUGCCAUUUGAUACAGGGAAUAGGGUGCCAUUUGAUACAGGGAAUAGGGUGCCAUUUGAUAUAGGGUGCCAUUUGAUAUAGGGUGCCAUUUGAUACAGGGAAUAGGGUGCCAUUUGAUACAGGGAAUAGGGUGCCAUUUGAUAUAGGGAAUACGGUGCCAUUUGAUACAGGGAAUAGGGUGUCAUUUGAUAUAGGGAAUAGGCUGCCAUUUGGGACACACACCAAAAUGGAAGAGGCUAUACGGACACACCUGGUGCCCAAAUUGAUGACGUAUGUCACACAGUGAGAAUAGAGUGGAGACUCGUGUUUCCUUUCAAAUGGUAUCAAGAAUAUGCAAAUCCUUGCUUCAGGGCCUUAGCUACAGGCAGUUAGAUUUGGGUACGUCAUUUGAGGUGAAAAUAUUCUACCCCCAAGCCGUAAGACUGUUGAACAAAUAAUCAAAUGGCCACUCGGACUAUUUACAUUGACACCCUUCCCCAUUUGUUUUUACACUGAUGGUACUCGCUGUUUAUUAUCUAUGCAUAGUCACUUUACCCCUACCUAAAUGUACAAACUACCUCGACUAACCUGUACCCCCACACAUUGACUUGGUACCGGUACUGCCUGUAUAUAGCCUCGUUAUUGUUAUUUUAUUGUGUUACUUUAUAUUAUUUCUUAUUAUUUUUUACUUUAGAUUAUUUGGUAAUUAUUUUCUUAACUCUUUCUUGAACUGCAUUGUGGGUUAAGGCGUUGUAAGUUAGCAUUUCACGAUAACGUCUACAGCUGUUGUAUUCGGCGCAUGUGACAAAUAAAGUUUAAUUUGAUUUGACAGAGUAGGGAAAGCCCCAGUGAACAGCCUCCAUGGUGGGUGACCCUGACCCAACAUCGCAGAGCCACGGACUGCUUAUUUAGGGAGCCACAGACCAACAGACCUCACUGGUCUCCCUGGGGGAUAAGGACAGCUGCACAGAGAAUGUACGCAUGUGUGUGUGUGUGUGUGUGUGUGUGUGUGUGUGUGUGUGUGUGUGUGUGUGUGUGUGUGUGUGUAUUAAAUCUUAUUUUGAGGAAAAGCAGGGUUAACAGAAGCCCCACACUAAUGAUAUGAUCCUGUAACGUCACAGUUAAGAGGGUCUGGUUCAUGUGACUGCACUUCUCUGCACUGCAAUAUGUAAUAGUUUGAAUCAGACACUAAUGUGGCCAUCAAAUUAAUUUCACAAUUUUUAAAAGUCUGACUGUAGGUUACCAUGCUCUUUAAGUUCCAGGUAGUUGAUUAGUUCAUGUACUGACACACUGUAAACAAAUCCUGCACUUUCUACAGUAACUUACUGGCAGCCAGUUUACAGUAAUUUUCCGUUAAACCAAAGUGUCUUUAGAAUUUACGGUAACAUAUUGUACUUUUUUUUAACAGUAACUUACAGGUAACUGCCUGCCAGUAAGUUAGUGUGAAAACAACAGUAUUUGAUUUUUACAGGUCAUUAUAUUCAAACCUAAGAAUCAAUAGAAACAAAGCCCUGUGAAUGUGUUGAGAAUAUCUUCCUAAACUAAUAGGACUCUAUUCUCUACUGCAUUUAGAACUGGGACAACAAAAUAGCCUCAUCUCACACUAUAAACAACACCAGCCUAAUCUCAUCCGGCCUCCAUCUGCAGCAAACAGGUCUACAUGUAUAUGAAAUGGACCACCUUAAGGUUGUUGGGGGGCAGUAACAGCUGUUUGGGGGCAGUAAUGGUUGUUGGGGGUAGUAACGGUUGUUUGGGUCAGUAACGGUUGUUGGGGGGCAGUAACGGUUGUUGGGGGCAGUAAUGGUUGUUGGGGGCAGUAAUGGUUGUUUGGGGGCAGUAACAGUUGUUUGGGGGUAGUAACGGUUGAUUGGGGGGUAGUAAUGGUUGUUUGGAGGCAGUAAUGGUUGUUUGGGAGCAGUAACGGUUGUUGGGGGGUAUAAUGGUUGUUUGGGGGUAGUAACGGUUGUUUGGGGGUAGUAACGGUUGUUGGGGGGCAGUAACGAUUGUUUGGGGGCAGUAACGGUUGUUUGGGGGGUAGUAACGGUU
Molecule: long non-coding RNA, 3929 nt
Filed under: Salmo salar (Atlantic salmon)
Lineage: Eukaryota; Metazoa; Chordata; Actinopteri; Salmoniformes; Salmonidae
Description: lncRNA (ENSSSAG00000091779.1)
Source: RNAcentral